UUAUAUAUUAUUAUUAUAGUACAAAUAUGAGAUUGUAUAUGUACUUCACAGUUAAGCGUGCUUGACCUGGAGUAGUACUGGGAUGGGUGACCUUCUGGGAAGUCUCCCAGAAAUUGUACAAG
Non-coding RNA from Cajanus cajan (pigeon pea), 122 nucleotides. NCBI's taxonomy places the organism in Eukaryota, Viridiplantae, Streptophyta, Magnoliopsida, Fabales, Fabaceae. The record is from Rfam.